CCUACGGGAGGCAGCAGUGGGGAAUUUUGGACAAUGGGCGCAAGCCUGAUCCAGCCAUGCCGCGUGAGUGAAGAAGGCCUUCGGGUUGUAAAGCUCUUUCGGCCGGGAAGAAAUCGCAUUCUCUAAUAUAGGAUGUGGAUGACGGUACCGGACUAAGAAGCACCGGCUAACUACGUGCCAGCAGCCGCGGUAAUACGUAGGGUGCGAGCGUUAAUCGGAAUUACUGGGCGUAAAGCGUGCGCAGGCGGUUUUGUAAGACAGAUGUGAAAUCCCCGGGCUUAACCUGGGAACUGCGUUUGUGACUGCAAGGCUAGAGUACGGCAGAGGGGGGUGGAAUUCCUGGUGUAGCAGUGAAAUGCGUAGAUAUCAGGAGGAACACCGAUGGCGAAGGCAGCCCCCUGGGCCUGUACUGACGCUCAUGCACGAAAGCGUGGGGAGCAAACAGGAUUAGAUACCCUGGUAGUCCACGCCCUAAACGAUGUCGACUAGUCGUUCGGAGCAGCAAUGCACUGAGUGACGCAGCUAACGCGUGAAGUCGACCGCCUGGGGAGUACGGCCGCAAGGUUAAAACUCAAAUGAAUUGACGG
Molecule: ribosomal RNA, 587 nt
Filed under: uncultured bacterium
Lineage: Bacteria
Description: bacterial SSU rRNA
Rfam family: Bacterial small subunit ribosomal RNA
Source: RNAcentral